Non-coding RNA from Pelobates cultripes (western spadefoot toad), 253 nucleotides. NCBI's taxonomy places the organism in Eukaryota, Metazoa, Chordata, Amphibia, Anura, Pelobatidae. The record is from the annotation of a GenBank genome assembly.
GUUUGUAGUGAGUGAAGAGUGUGUAUAAUGAAUGCAGCGUGUGCUGGAUGAUGUGUGUGUGCGCGCUGGAUGACGUGUGUGUGCGCGCUGGAUGACGUGUGUGUGUGAGUGCUGGAUGAUGUGUGUGUGAGUGCUGGAUGAUGUGUGUGUGUGCUGAAUGAUGUGUGUGUGUGUGUGUGAGUGCUGGAUGAUGUGUGUGUGUGUGAGUGCUGGAUGAUGUGUGUGUGUGAGUGCUGGAUGAUGUGUGUGAGUG